Long non-coding RNA from Cydia fagiglandana, 547 nucleotides. RefSeq lists it as uncharacterized. The transcript is spliced from 2 exons. The record is from RefSeq and is a predicted model, not a curated record. NCBI's taxonomy places the organism in Eukaryota, Metazoa, Arthropoda, Insecta, Lepidoptera, Tortricidae.
UCAGGUCAACAAACUAAUCAUCCUGUACCUCUAACGCCUGUACAUGUGCCUUACCCGGGAGGAACAGUGACCAUUCCUGAUGGUGCUUGCGGGCCAUUUAGGAAGCCCGUCGGUGAAAAGAUAGUGUGUUGCAACACCAGUAAUUACCCCUAUCCUCCACCCCAGAUCGAUGGACCAGAUUACCCUCCCUUUUUGUCACCCUUCAACGUUCGCGUUACUGACCCUGCGGGAUGUGACUGUCAAAUCACCCAGUACUGUCCUGAUUAUGAAAUAUAAAACGUGCACGUUUUGAACACUCAACACACGUUUCGAAUUAUAAUUUAAUAAUCUGGCUAUUGACAAACGGAUACUACUUAUGUUCACUUAUGAAUUAUUUUGUUUUAUUAUCUUUGUGUAACGCAUGCACUAGAUGCUUACUGCUGUCAUUCUUCAUCUAAUUUUCACAAAUUUUCAUUUUGGAAAGUAUAUUUGAUUUAAAGUUUGUUUUGUGUAUAAAGCACAAUAAAUAAUAUUUAACCUUCAUGUUUUAAAUAAAGAUUUUAUUUCA